GUGGUGUCAUUCAAUGUGGUAAACUAUUUUGACAAGUCUGCAUGCAAAUUAUCCACCAUUCGAUGCUCGCAUUGCAGCAUCCGCAACUCCUUUGCAGGAUCAUAACAAGAACUAUCUAUCCAUGGAAAACUGCCCUUCAUCUGGAAUCUACUUUCUUGCUAAUUUAGCUUUUGGUGCGGGUCAGCAGUUGUCUAAGUUAUAUUCUUUUUAGAUGGCGCUUAAAUCUGUCCCCAUGGUCUUUGAGAGUGAACUUUGGACACUAGCGGUUGAGCCAUAGCAAGUUAAUAAGCUGCCAUCUCAAAGACGCCUCAUACAUAUAUUCAGGGCACAUGAGGAAACCGCAUCUGGCCGCGGAAAUCUCCAUCAAAAACUAAAACAGACAGCUCCGUUGUGCCCUGCCCAUUGAAGGGAAGUUCUAGUGCUGUAGCUGCAGACGGACAUUUUCCUCUGUGCAGAAAUGGGAGGAAGUCCUUUCACUAGGAUUUAUCACCUCAAAAGGUCACCGGCACUGUCGUUACUAAAAAGAUAACAUGAAAGCUUUGUACGUCCUUUCGUGGUUGGGCCAAGGGAAAGCUCCAAGAAUUGUGAGUGGUUUAUAUUUGUUAUAUAAAACACCACAAUCCAUGUGCAUGCUUCGAUAUGUAUACACAUACAUACUUACGUGUAAUAUAUAUAUAUAGAGAGAGAGAGAGAGAGA
Molecule: non-coding RNA, 697 nt
Organism: Malus domestica (apple)
Lineage: Eukaryota; Viridiplantae; Streptophyta; Magnoliopsida; Rosales; Rosaceae
Source: RefSeq, a predicted model, not a curated record